UACGGGGGGGGCAAGCGUUGUUCGGAAUUACUGGGCGUAAAGGGUUUGUAGGUGGCUUGCUAAGUCAGACGUGAAAUCCCUCAGCUUAACUGGGGAACUGCGUCUGAGACUGGUGAGCUUGAGUGCAGGAGAGGAACGCGGAAUUCCAGGUGUAGCGGUGAAAUGCGUAGAUAUCUGGAGGAACACCGGUGGCGAAGGCGGCAUCCUGGACCGGCAUUGACGCUGAGGCGCGAAAGCCAGGGGAGCAAACGGG
This 253-nucleotide ribosomal RNA is filed under the name uncultured bacterium. RNAcentral's name for it is "partial 16S ribosomal RNA". It matches the Rfam family "Bacterial small subunit ribosomal RNA", at positions 524 to 776 of the family's 1533-position model. The record is from RNAcentral.